GCAUUUUGAUCUUAAAGCUGUGAAUCAAGACCUUUUGUUACUAAUUUGUGAUAAUCGUUGAGAAAAAUAGAGUUUUUUGGAGAUUGAAGGCUUCGGUUCACAAAAACAGGUAAGAACUUUGGGUUUUUUCUUUUUUCCGCCAUUUGAUUUAUUUCACAGCAUAUUUUGAACAAAAUGAGUUCAAUAAUUAGGGUUUUUAAUCUUUAUUGUGUCUAGUAUGAUUUAAAAUUUUCAAUUUUACGUAAUCUGGUCAAUUACAGCAAGAAAUUUGAUAUGAACAUUGAG
RNAcentral lists this long non-coding RNA (285 nucleotides) under Amborella trichopoda. RNAcentral's name for it is "long non-coding RNA (ATRI_LNC003456)". The record is from RNAcentral. Lineage: Eukaryota; Viridiplantae; Streptophyta; Magnoliopsida; Amborellales; Amborellaceae.